RNAcentral lists this ribosomal RNA (172 nucleotides) under uncultured bacterium. Its description in RNAcentral is "partial 16S ribosomal RNA". It matches the Rfam family "Bacterial small subunit ribosomal RNA", at positions 1322 to 1500 of the family's 1533-position model. The record is from RNAcentral.
GAAGUUGGAUUCGCUAGUAAUCGCGCAUCAGCCAUGGCGCGGUGAAUACGUUCCCGGGCCUUGUACACACCGCCCGUCAAGCCAUGGGAGCCGGGGGCGCCUGAAGUCCGGGACCGGCGAGGACCGGCCUAGGGCGAAACUGGUGACUGGGGCUAAGUCGUAACAAGGUACC